This is a long non-coding RNA of Anthonomus grandis grandis, 663 nucleotides long. RefSeq lists it as uncharacterized. NCBI's taxonomy places the organism in Eukaryota, Metazoa, Arthropoda, Insecta, Coleoptera, Curculionidae. The transcript is spliced from 3 exons. The record is from RefSeq and is a predicted model, not a curated record.
UUUUUAAUUUUUAGUAAUAGAAAUUUAGGAAAUUGUGUUUUUUGAUUAGUAGUGUUUUGAUUUGUUAUUUUUUGUAGAUACCUACCUAAUAGUUAUUUGUGGUUAUAUGUGAAAAUAAGUUAUUUGACCUAAGGUUCAGGAUAGAAGAUAUUUUGGAAGCUGCAGUUUUCGGUGCUUUUAGUGACGAAGAGGAUGAUAUGGAGGAUGCUAUGAUUUUGCACAUUUUUGAUGGCGAAAAUGUCGGAAAUAGAGCUGACUGGUAUGGUAGAUUUAAUCUGGAAAAUGUUUCCAAUGUUGGGGCGAAAAGACUUUUUCAUUUCGAAAAAGAGCACAUUCCCAGACUUGCUGCUGCAUUGGAUAUACCAAAUAAUAUUAAUGUUCAUAACAUUAGCUCAAGUGGAGUUACAGCACUGUGCAUACUCUUACGAAUACUCUCUUACCCCAACCGACUGGGAGAGUUGGAGAUAUUAUUUGGAUAAUCCUAUAGUGUCCCUUUUAAAAUUUUUUAAUGGGUUUUUUUUAGGUCAUAGCUGAAAAGGGAGCUCCAAUGAACAAUAUAUGGGCGUUUAUUGAUGGUAACUGUACGACCUAUUUGUAGGCCAUCAAUAAACCAGAGAUUGUACUACUCAGGGUACAAGAAAGUACACUGUGUUAAAUAUCAAU